ACAUAGUGAUGAUAAAAGCAUGUACCAUGCGUUCCACAGACGUGGAACGCAUGGUACAUGCUUUUAUCAUCACUAUGU
Pelobates cultripes (western spadefoot toad) is the source of this 78-nucleotide non-coding RNA. NCBI's taxonomy places the organism in Eukaryota, Metazoa, Chordata, Amphibia, Anura, Pelobatidae. The record is from the annotation of a GenBank genome assembly.